GUCAUUUUUGUGACGUUG
Molecule: microRNA, 18 nt
Filed under: Mus musculus (house mouse)
Lineage: Eukaryota; Metazoa; Chordata; Mammalia; Rodentia; Muridae
Description: microRNA miRNA133
Source: RNAcentral